RNAcentral lists this ribosomal RNA (254 nucleotides) under uncultured bacterium. Its description in RNAcentral is "partial 16S ribosomal RNA". It matches the Rfam family "Bacterial small subunit ribosomal RNA", at positions 524 to 776 of the family's 1533-position model. The record is from RNAcentral.
GACGUAGGGUGCCAGCGUUGUUCGGAAUUACUGGGUGUAAAGGGUUCGUAGGCGGUGUGGCAAGUCGGGAGUGAAAUCUCUGGGCUCAACCCAGAGUCUGCUUCCGAAACUGCUGUGCUUGAGUGUGGGAGAGGCGCGUGGAAUUGCAGGUGUAGCGGUGAAAUGCGUAGAUAUCCGGAGGAACACCGGUGGCGAAGGCGGCUUCCUGGACCGAUUACUGACGCUGAGGCGCGAAAGCUAGGGGAGCAAACGGG